CGAACGGGUGAGUAAUACAUCGGAACGUGCCCCGUAGUGGGGGAUAACUAGUCGAAAGAUUAGCUAAUACCGCAUACGACCUGAGGGUGAAAGUGGGGGACCGCAAGGCCUCAUGCUAUAGGAGCGGCCGAUGUCUGAUUAGCUAGUUGGUGGGGUAAAGGCCCACCAAGGCGACGAUCAGUAGCUGGUCUGAGAGGACGAUCAGCCACACUGGUACUGAGACACGGCCCAG
RNAcentral lists this ribosomal RNA (232 nucleotides) under uncultured Burkholderiales bacterium. RNAcentral's name for it is "partial 16S ribosomal RNA". It matches the Rfam family "Bacterial small subunit ribosomal RNA", at positions 99 to 334 of the family's 1533-position model. The record is from RNAcentral. Lineage: Bacteria; Pseudomonadati; Pseudomonadota; Betaproteobacteria; Burkholderiales.